Ictidomys tridecemlineatus (thirteen-lined ground squirrel) is the source of this 666-nucleotide non-coding RNA. Lineage: Eukaryota; Metazoa; Chordata; Mammalia; Rodentia; Sciuridae. The record is from RefSeq and is a predicted model, not a curated record.
ACUUACUGUCCACUGUGCUGGAUUGGGGGAUAAGUGGGGAGGGGACACUGUAUUGAGCCCAGCCUCGUGCAAUAACACCAUUUUCUCCUAUCACUAUUUUACCUCUCUAACAUCUAUUUCUUUGCUACUGAUCCCUAAAGACUAAGCAUUAAGGGAGAUCAUGUACGGAAUGCUGUUGAUUUGCCACCUGUACACCCUGCCCACCCUGGAAGCACCUGCCAGAAGUUUUCAUGUGCCUUGCUAGUUCCAGGUUUCUUACCUGAGGUUUUUCAGGCUGCCAACACUGAGGCCACUCAGGAGAGGCCAAACAUGCCUGUUCAGCCAGUAAAGGAGUAGGCUUGUGGUGAAUAAAUGCCCAGCUUCCUUGUCCUUCAGUGGCAUGAUUCUGAGGUGUGUUCCACUGUCUUUUGCAUGGACCACGGCAGGCGAAUCUCCAGUUGCUGCCAAGGAACUGGACAUCUACGAGGACACAACUGGAACUGCAUUACUGUCCACCAAUCUGCACCAUCCAGGAGCAAGUAUGGGCCAGCAGCCUGCGGGUACAACGAGGGUGAGUGGGCCAGGCUGUGGGCCCCAAGGCACUUUUUUUUAAUAGACUGAAAACUGGAUUAAUCUCUGCCAUCCACAGAGCACUAUGCAGUUUAUAAAGCUGUUUUCUUGUGUUUA